GGAGGCAGACUCACAUAAAUGCUGUAUUAGACUUUCUCCCUCAGACCGCGCACAUAAACAAUCCCUCACUACGGCUUUACAUCUGCGCGCAUCAUCACUGGCACAAUACACAGGAUCACACACUUUUAAAACACACACCGGACUAUAUUCUAGCCUACUUUCCUUUAGAAUAAUUCAAGGAAAAACAAAAAGAAAGAAUAGCUUUUUUUUCUUCUGUCGCUUCAUCCUCAACGAGUUCUGCAAAUAUACGUGUUACUUUUCAGCAGCUUUGGUAAUUUUUGUAAUUAUUCUGGAUCUAUACAGGAGACUUUAUGUUGGGUUAAUAACACAUGUAAAGACGGAACCGCUACAGCAAACAAACCCGGGUUCGGAAGAGCGCGCCCAGCCGAGCUCAGAGUCCCGGCUACCGGACAGUCCCUUCGAGUCCUCCCCGCUCCCGGUCCUCCACCACAGUCGCAUCAAUCCCCUGCCCCCCACACAGAACACCAUUCAGCGCGAGGCUUUCACACCAGAUCUAUGGCAUUCUGACAAUGAACAAGCACGCUCAGUUUUUGGAACGGAUGCAUUGUGUCCAGUUGAAAUGCACACCUCGAGGUUAGAGACUGCUUCUCUCUGAUCAUCAUACCACACACGUACACGUACACGUGCACACACACACGCUUAUCCAGCCAGGUCACCCGUUAUACAAUUCAGUAUUCAACUUCCAUCCAUGUCUGUGCAAGUGGGGAGAUGACCUGGAAGUUGUUUUCGAUAUGUUUGUUUUAAGCCUAUCCCAAACCUUAACUUUACCUUAACCAUUCGAAGUUCAUGUCUGAACUUUACCCUAAAUUGAACAUAUAAUCUUAACCUUAAACACACGAAAUUUGAAUUUUGGAACAACUUCGAAAUUUGACGUUCCAGUAAGUGGAUGAACGUCUAAUUCUGUCGUGAGACUCUGAGAGCUGGUAGUAUUUAUCUGCCUGGCUUGUCUGUCCUGAACCCUCACUGUUUAACACACAUGUAGUUUAAGCACACACUCAUACAUGCAUGCACUCAAAUACUCAUGCAUGUUGUACACACACGCAUACACACACAUUCUCCACUGACACAUACACUCUGACACACGCACAAACUUGCUGUCAGGUGGAGGUCGUGGUGUUUGAAUGAAAAGGGUGUUUUCGGUUUUUGGGAUAUAAUCUGGUGUCAUUAGAGUGCUUCUGGCUUGGUUUUAACAUAACACUGCAUCGUCUGAAUAUGUGUGUGUGUGUGUGUUUACUCAGAAGUAGAUGUAUGUGCAUAGGGGCACGGUGAGGAUAAGGUACACACAUCAGUUAGGUUGUGUUUAUAUCAUCACUAUGUGUGUGAAUGGGUGUGUGUCCAUACGUGCAUGUGUGCGUUUGACUUCAGGCAAGGUAGGUUGAGUAGUCUUAUAAGGAGGCGUUUCAAUUGGAAUUAAACACAUCAGCCCCCCCUCCCCCACUGUUGGACAGGUCCAGGAAAAAUCUCUCUCUCUUCCUUUUCUCCCCUUGAAGACACAGGCAGUUACAAAUCCCCUUCAUCUCUGUACACCUGUAGGUCUGUUUCCGCGUGGGUAGUGCAACUGCCUGGGUCACUCGCGAGGCCGUCAUAGAAAUAAAAGAAAAC
Molecule: long non-coding RNA, 1623 nt
Organism: Oncorhynchus kisutch (coho salmon)
Lineage: Eukaryota; Metazoa; Chordata; Actinopteri; Salmoniformes; Salmonidae
Exons: 3
Source: RefSeq, a predicted model, not a curated record